UAUAAUCACCCUCUAUUUAUCUUAGUGUCCAUCUCUAUGUAAUUCCACAGGGCCAAUCAUCGGCAACACCACACAAAUUUAGAUAUUUUUCAUACAAUAUCAAAUCACAUACUAAGGUCUAAGCUUCGAUACACAUGGCCACAUCUUGAUUCAAAACACUACUACCAUCAAUAUGGCUUGAAUCAGCAAAAGCAAAAACAUCAAAAAUUUACAAAAGUUAAAUGGCCCAAAUCUAAUAGAUGGUCUUUAAAAAAUAAUCAAGAUGAAAUUAAUGACGGUAAGAGCCAAUACUAACACUCACUGAAGAAUCGCAGAAAACAUGGAGAAUUCUUCACGCCCGUCGCCGAUGUUUGGAUUAGAGGAAAAAGCGAUGCCGAUCUACCCCUUCUCGCCGCCUCCCUGUGUCAACGCUGUCAACACUCCUCUCCUCUCCUCGCGGCGAUUUCCCCUUCCCAAACUAAAGCUUCGCACAUGGAGGAGGGACGGUUUAUGAAGCAGAGCUUCGCACAUCAUCCCCCACCCCUCCAAAGUCUGUCAAGUUGAACGACACAUGUUUCAUAUCUUGGCGGCGGCGGUGGAGGACUCGACAAUGGCUCCCAAUCCGUGUACACCUUUAAUCGUCUCUGGAUGUCGCUUCUCCAACCCUAGCCGCGACGACGGAAGAUAGAUCGGAUCUGGGAGGGGGGGG
RNAcentral lists this long non-coding RNA (688 nucleotides) under Erythranthe guttata (spotted monkey flower). RNAcentral's name for it is "long non-coding RNA (EGUT_LNC002897)". The record is from RNAcentral. Lineage: Eukaryota; Viridiplantae; Streptophyta; Magnoliopsida; Lamiales; Phrymaceae.